RNAcentral lists this ribosomal RNA (468 nucleotides) under uncultured bacterium. RNAcentral describes it as "partial 16S ribosomal RNA". It matches the Rfam family "Bacterial small subunit ribosomal RNA", at positions 28 to 507 of the family's 1533-position model. The record is from RNAcentral.
GACGAACGCUGGCGGCAUGCUUAACACAUGCAAGUCGAACGGAAAGGCCCUGCUUUUGUGGGGUGCUCGAGUGGCGAACGGGUGAGUAACACGUGAGUAACCUGCCCUUGACUUUGGGAUAACUUCAGGAAACUGGGGCUAAUACCAGAUAGGAGCUCCUGCUGCAUGGUGGGGGUUGGAAAGUUUCGGCGGUUGGGGAUGGACUCGCGGCUUAUCAGCUUGUUGGUGGGGUAGUGGCUUACCAAGGCUUUGACGGGUAGCCGGCCUGAGAGGGUGACCGGCCACAUUGGGACUGAGAUACGGCCCAGACUCCUACGGGAGGCAGCAGUGGGGAAUAUUGCACAAUGGGCGGAAGCCUGAUGCAGCAACGCCGCGUGCGGGAUGACGGCCUUCGGGUUGUAAACCGCUUUCGCCUGUGACGAAGCGUGAGUGACGGUAAUGGGUAAAGAAGCACCGGCUAACUACGUG